CCGCCUGGGGAGUACGGUCGCAAGAUUAAAACUCAAAGGAAUUGACGGGGGCCUGCACAAGCGGUGGAGCAUGUGGUUUAAUUUGAAGCAACGCGCAGAACCUUACCAACGUCUGACAUCCUCAUCGCGAUUUCCAGAGAUGGAUUUCUUCAGUUCGGCUGGAUGAGUGACAGGUGCUGCAUGGCUGUCGUCAGCUCGUGUCGUGAGAUGUUGGGUUAAGUCCCGCAACGAGCGCAACCCUCGCCUUUAGUUGCCAUCAUUUAGUUGGGUACUCUAAAGGAACCGCCGGUGAUAAGCCGGAGGAAGGUGGGGAUGACGUCAAGUCCUCAUGGCCCUUACGCGUUGGGAUACACACGUGUUACAAUGGCGACUACAGUGGGCAGCGACCAUGCGAGUGGAAGUUAAUCUCCAAAAGUCGUCUCAGUUCGGAUUGUUCUCUGCAACUCGAGAGCAUGAAGUCGGAAUCGCUAGUAAUCGCGGAUCAGCAUGCCGCGGUGAAUACGUUCCCAGGCCUUGUACACACCGCCCGUCACACCAUGGGAGUUGGUUUCACCCGAAGGCAGUGCGCUAACCGCAAGGAGGCAGCUGACCACGGUGGGAUCAGCGACUGGGGUGAAGUCGUAACAAGGUAGCCGUAGGGGAACCUGCGGCUGGAUCACCUCCUUGAGCUUGGAUUCCCGGGAAUCGAAUUCCCGCGC
Molecule: ribosomal RNA, 698 nt
Filed under: uncultured Sphingobium sp.
Lineage: Bacteria; Pseudomonadati; Pseudomonadota; Alphaproteobacteria; Sphingomonadales; Sphingobiaceae
Description: bacterial SSU rRNA
Rfam family: Bacterial small subunit ribosomal RNA
Source: RNAcentral